ACGAAACCACGGACAGGGCCCGAACUCCGCGCUUCCGCCGGAAGCGGCUGAUUCCGCCGCGGGGGAACUUCCGCCAGUACUUCUGCCAGGCAAUGCUUCUGAUUGGUCCGGGCCGCGUUUGGCGCCUCUCGCCAGAGGUCUCGCGAGAGAAGCAGCGCAGCCAUGUUUGUUGAGGGCAAUUCUGUGGGCUCCUGAGACCGCUCCGCGUUCCCUCCUAAAUCCAGCCGGGAACGGCGGAAUAUAUCUGCCUGGAAAUUGUGGGAAUGAGCCUAGAUCCCCUCAGGCUGAGUCUAAACCCUUUGGGACUGAGCCUAAAUCCCCUCGGACUGAGCCAAAGCUCCCAAAUGGUGGAGCUUCCCUUGGAUAGGGGCGGUACUGGAAAGGGCGGUCAGUGACGUCUUCUCGCCCCGCCCCUUCCCGGCCCGUCCUGUGGCGGCUCCGCCAUUUUCCCGGCGCCGUGCCCGGGGCCGGUUUCGGCCUGCACCCCGAAGGUCCCGGGGCUCCUUCGCCACCGGAGUGUCCCCAAGGUGUCCCAGUGAACAUGGAGCCCAAAGAGCUGUCCCCGGCCCUGCUGCAGCCACAGGUCACUGUGGUGGCCAUCGUGGGUGAGCUGCUGGCCACCCUGCCCAGCCUGGACGAGAUGAAUCUGCUCGUGUCCGCAUUGCGCCUGUACUGGGACCUGGAUGAAUUCACCUGGGAGUUCCGGGUCACCCUGUACUGCAUUACUGACACCUCGGGGUGCCACAAUGUCACCUCUGAUGAUGAUGAUGAUGACUCCACCACCUAUCUGAGCCAGGGCCUGGCCAAGUACAGGAACACCCCAUGGACCAGCCCAUAUGAUCUGAGAAAAGCGGACGAUCUGAUAAAAGCGGCCAGCAUCUGGCAGAUGGGGUUGUUUCUGCUUGUGGACUUGUGGGCCAAGCUGGCCAGGAAGGCCACCAAGCUCCACCAUACCUGCAGGGUGGUGGCCAACAAGGUGACCGACAUGGCGAGCACUGCCACCGCCCGGGCCAGGGAGCUGCAGGCCGAGGCUUCCUGUGAUGGCACAGCUCAGGAAAAC
Molecule: long non-coding RNA, 1060 nt
Filed under: Serinus canaria (Common canary)
Lineage: Eukaryota; Metazoa; Chordata; Aves; Passeriformes; Fringillidae
Description: lncRNA (ENSSCAG00000001576.1)
Source: RNAcentral